RNAcentral lists this ribosomal RNA (468 nucleotides) under uncultured bacterium. Its description in RNAcentral is "partial 16S ribosomal RNA". It matches the Rfam family "Bacterial small subunit ribosomal RNA", at positions 28 to 507 of the family's 1533-position model. The record is from RNAcentral.
GACGAACGCUGGCGGCGUGCUUAACACAUGCAAGUCGAACGGAAAGGCCCUGCUUUUGUGUGGUUCUCGAGUGGCGAACGGGUGAGUUACACGUGAGUAACCUGCCCUUUACUUUGGGAUAUCUUCAGGAAACUGGUGCUAAUACCUGCUAGGAGCUCCUGCUGCAUGGUGGGGGUUGGACCGUUUCGUCGGUUGGGGAUGGACUGGGGGGUUGUCAGCUUGUUGGUGGGGUAGUGGCAUACCAAGGCUUUGAAGGGUAGGCGGCCUGAGAGGGGAAACAGGGACAAGAGGACUGAGAGAGGGAGCAGACUGGAACGGGAGGCAGCAGGGGGGAAUAUGGCACAAUGGGGGGAAGCCUGAUGAAGAAACGCCGCGAGCGGGAUGACGGCCUACGGGUUGUAAACCGCAUUAGGCUGAGACGAAGCGGGAGUGACGGUAAUGGGUAAAGAAGCACCGGCUAACUACGUG